CUCAAUGAUCGAUCAUUUUUCGGGCUUCUCGAAGGGCAUCUUUAAAAGAGUUGACUUCCUUGGUCAACUCAAUGGUAGCUGAUUGUUUUUGCUCCAAAAAAUAUUUUAGCCAGUCUAUUUCUUCCUUCGUUGCUAUAGGCACUAAAGCUGAAGCUUCAAAGAUGGAGCCGACGAAGCUGGCUAGAUAAUGCCGAACCUAUAUACCAAAGCUAUUAAAUACAAUAAGCUGCAGGAGAUCAAAAGAAAAGAUCCAAAGACUCCUUACCUG
Molecule: long non-coding RNA, 268 nt
Filed under: Elaeis guineensis (African oil palm)
Lineage: Eukaryota; Viridiplantae; Streptophyta; Magnoliopsida; Arecales; Arecaceae
Description: long non-coding RNA (EGUI_LNC015354)
Source: RNAcentral